RNAcentral lists this long non-coding RNA (2815 nucleotides) under Lepisosteus oculatus (spotted gar). RNAcentral describes it as "lncRNA (ENSLOCG00000023292.1)". Lineage: Eukaryota; Metazoa; Chordata; Actinopteri; Semionotiformes; Lepisosteidae. The record is from RNAcentral.
GAUAACUCUAAACAUGGGGUCAGAUUGCAUUUUUAAAUACUGUAACACAACAGAUCUUCUCUUCACUGAUAGCAGUUGGAAGGUCUUCCAGCACUUAACUUCCCUAAGACAUAUCAAGUAAGAACAUCAUUCAGAGGAUAAUAUAAAAAUGGAAAUUCUUAUACUCAAAGGACUGGUCUCCAUUUUUCUACUUGAUCUUUGUAACUCUCAGGUGACUGUACUGGAGCCAUACAGCAGCUCAGAGAUCUCCAUGACAACCCAAGUAGGCACAGCUGUGCCAGACAGAGAAAUUGAAACAACUCAAGAGAGCGACAACAAUGAGCAAGAUUUUGCUCCAGCCCCAACUGAAACCUACUUGUUACCUCAGUCACAAGCUCCUGAGAUAUUCGGCUUACAUGAAGAAGGUAACAAAAUGGCUGGAGAGAUCAGGGAAGAGUCGAAUGACUUCAAUGAGAUUAUUACACCCAAAGAUGAACUUCUGAACCCAGAAGAAAUCAAGCCCAUGCCUACUCUGGACAACUCUGUAGAGGAAAUCCCAGUAACCCUUUUGCUCCCCCUUUCAGAUGAGGAUGGAAACAGAGAUAUCUUAGACACAACAACCUAUGAUACACGUAACGAGGUGGUUGCCUUAGGCCUUGAGGCUUGGAGGUUUGGAGCAAUUUCUGCAGCUGUUCUCUUGGUCUUGGAGACAAUUGUGGUUAUUGUUUAUUGCUUGAAGUGCAAGAAAAGAAGAAUAAGAAGGACAAUGGCAGUCAAAAUGAUUGAAGACAGUGAAGCAGCAGAAACAAUUCAUGGAGAGUCCAAUGAAAACACGCUCACUGGUGGGGAUGUUCAACCAAACCAAACUGCGUCAAAUGGUUCAUGUGAGGUGACAAUACCCAAAGAAAAACAGGAAAUAAAAGCCGACAUUCUUCUGGAUUCCCUUUCAAGGGAUGCUAGUCUUUAGGACAAACCACAUGAUGUCAGAACAUCAGCGCUUUAAAGGUCUACAUUGUAGCUUUAUACUCAGUUUCUUUAUUAAAGUUAUGAGUUUGCACUCAACUGAAGAAAUUAUGUGUUCGUCUAGUCUUUUUUGAAUAACGACUAGUUUACACUUAUCUACUAUAAACCAAACAAACUUAAUAGACCAAAUGGCUUCCUCUCAUUGUGUAAUGUUCUUGAAUGCAAACACAGAUAUAAUGAAUGGUAAUGUAUAAGGGCACAUUUUUAUUUUAAAGUUGUUUUUGGCUAUAUUACUUUUAGAAUUUAAGUGUGAUUAAUGACUUACAAAAUGAUUUUAAAUAGAUCUAUGAAGACGGUUACAGAAAUCUACUUUAAAAAAAUCUAUACAGAAAAAAUACAGAAAAAUAUAAAAAUUGCAAAAUACAGAUGCAUUGUCUUAAUUAUCUUAGAAUUUAAUACAGUAAAGUGUUAUUGUUUUGGAGGUUCACUGACUUUAUUGUUUCCUAUUUGGUUUAUAUUAUAAACUACUUGUAUUUCAUUUGGUUUUCUGUAUUAUAUAAUUAUUUUAUUGUUAGUAAGACAUGUUUUAUUACAUUAAAUUAGCAUUUUCAGCAUUUUCUCAUCUUCAGAAUGUUUUAUUAUAUUGUAUAUCCAUGUAUGCAUGUACAAUACAUUAUUUCCUUGUGUUUUUCAAGAAAAAUAUAAAAUUGUCAAGCAAUAAUCCAUUUUAGCAUAUCAGUUUCAGAGAUCUGGCAGACUUGUCAUUCCAGAAUUGCCUCUAGGGAAAAGAGAACGUGAGGUUAAAAGAAAAUAAAAUUGAGACUACAAAAGAGAAGCUUGUUAUGUUAUUCAUUGCAAUGUAAUCUUUAACAUCCAAAGACCAUUCUAGCUCUAGAAUGGUGUAGAAAUUCCUAGAAAUCAAUAUAAUAGGCUAAGAAAUUCUUCUGAUCCAUUUAUGAAAACUGUCUAACUGACCAUGAGAUAAUGUCGGUAAAAGUCUGCUAAACAAAAUCUUUGUAAUUUUUUUUCUGAAUGAAAUCAUAUGAAUAACAACCAUAUAGUAUAAAUCCUGAAAACUACGUAACUACAGUAAAUUCAUUGUUUUGUUCAGCAACAAGAUUGCAUUUAAUACCUAGGGUAUUGUAUAUGAAACAUAAAAAUAAAUGACUUCUUCACACCAAAUCUCUUAGUUCUCUUACAACUUUUGACAAACCUGUUGUUGAACCUCAAAUAUUUUUCAACAACAACACUUUUACAGUAAAUCUGUGUACUAACCAUGUUACGUCCCAGUGUGUUUAUGUAAUAAGAGUUUUUUCAAUUGCAAUUGCCAGUUUAGUUUUUUAUAAUAUCCUAAUGUGAAAAUCCCAAUUGUCCAAGCACGUAUUGCUUCAACCUUUGUAAAAGCACAGAAGGGUUGAUGACACAUGCUCUCAGGAUAUGCAGCUUCUAUCGCACAGCAUCUACAGCAGAGAUAGCAUCUGGAUUGAUAUGACUCAGCAUUACAAUGCAUGCACAAAAACAAUAAGCAAGCCAUAAGAGUUACUAUUGCAUUAUAAAGUGAGGAGACCUUCUAAAAUUUCCAAUUUUCCUUUGCAAAGUGACACUCAGCCUCCGCAAAUUGUGUGUUGCAGUACAUUAAACUUCAAUGACAGACUUGUAAAAGAUUAGGAUUGGUUUUAACUGAAACACCUGUGGCGAAUGAACCCUGCAAAGAAUUGUCCAUCAUUGUCUUCUAUGGUCUUCUUCUUCUUCUUCUUCUUCUUUUUCACAGCCUUAGUCCCAGACUGUCCUGGGGUCAGCUGCUUUGGUUGCUCUUCUCCAUUUGUCUCUGUCGAGCACAUCUUCCUCACUCACUUCACAUACCUCCAUAUUU